RNAcentral lists this ribosomal RNA (428 nucleotides) under uncultured Bacteroidota bacterium. RNAcentral's name for it is "bacterial SSU rRNA". It matches the Rfam family "Bacterial small subunit ribosomal RNA", at positions 545 to 975 of the family's 1533-position model. The record is from RNAcentral. Lineage: Bacteria; Pseudomonadati; Bacteroidota.
CCGGAUUUAUUGGGUUUAAAGGGAGCGUAGGCGGGAGGUCAAGUCAGCUGUGAAAUGUAUCUGCUUAACGGGUACACUGCAGUUGAAACUGGUUUUCUUGAGUGCGUAAGAGGCAGGCGGAAUUCGUUGUGUAGCGGUGAAAUGCUUAGAUAUGACGAGGAACUCCUAUUGCGAAGGCAGCUUGCUGGGUCGUUACUGACGCUGAUGCUCGAAGGUGCGGGGAUCGAACAGGAUUAGAUACCCUGGUAGUCCGCACAGUAAACUAUGGAUACUCUCUGCCGGCGAUAUACUGUCGGUGGCCAAGCGAAAGCGUUAAGUAUCCCACCUGGGGAGUACGUUCGCAAGAAUGAAACUCAAAGGAAUUGACGGGGGCCCGCACAAGCGGAGGAACAUGUGGUUUAAUUCGAUGAUACGCGAGGAACCUUACC